GGGACUGUGGCUUAGUGGUAGAGUGCUUGCCUAGCAUGCAUGAAGUCCUAGGUUUGAAUUCCUCAGUGCCA
RNAcentral lists this transfer RNA (71 nucleotides) under Dipodomys ordii (Ord's kangaroo rat). It matches the Rfam family "tRNA". Rfam says of the family: Transfer RNA (tRNA) molecules are approximately 80 nucleotides in length. Their secondary structure includes four short double-helical elements and three loops (D, anti-codon, and T loops). Lineage: Eukaryota; Metazoa; Chordata; Mammalia; Rodentia; Heteromyidae. The record is from Rfam by way of RNAcentral.